UGCAUUUAUCGGUGCAAAACCAAACUUGUUUGGUUGUUUACUCUGGAUAAACGAGCUUAUCGCACGGUCUUGUACCGGCGAAACUAUUGUCAAGUAUCUGCUUUAUCAACUGUCGUUGGUAGUGUAUUGGACUACCAUGGUGUUGACGGAUAACGGAGAAUCAGGGUUCUACUCCGGAGAGGGAGCCUUAGAAACGGCUACCAUGUCUAAGGAUAGCAGCAGGCACGAAAAUUACCCACUGUCAAAAUGAUGAGGUAGUAACGAGAAAUAACGAGAUCGUUCUCUUUGAGGUCGAUCAUUGGAAUGAGUACAAUUCAGACACUUUAACGAGUAUCUACGAGAGGGCAAGUCUGGUGCCAGCAGCCGCGGUAAUUCCAGCUCUCGUAAGGUAUAGAAUUAUUGCUGUGGUUAAAAAGUUCGUAGUUGAAUUUAAAAGUUGGCUCGGGUCUACCUAUAUGGUUAGUACUCGUUGCCUUCAGUUUGUUGUGUUGUGUGUUCCUUCAUAUUUAUAUGUUGUUCACGCUCACAACAGGAUUACUUUGAACGAUUCAAGUGCUUAAAGCACGACUUACGUCCGAAUAUCGGUGCAUGGAAUAAUGAAAUAAGGCUUCGGCCAGGUUUUGUUGGUUUUCUUGGCUGAAACAAUGGUUAACAGGAACAGCCGGGGGCAUCCGUAUCGUUACGCGAGAGGUGAAAUUCGUGGACCGUAGCGAGACGACCUAAAGCGAAGGCACUUGCCAAGAGUGUUUUCAUUAAUCAAGAACGAAAGUCAGAGGUUCGAAGGCGAUUAGAUAC
RNAcentral lists this ribosomal RNA (795 nucleotides) under Ektaphelenchoides sp. 2 BG-2019. RNAcentral's name for it is "SSU rRNA". It matches the Rfam family "Eukaryotic small subunit ribosomal RNA", at positions 202 to 1015 of the family's 1831-position model. Lineage: Eukaryota; Metazoa; Nematoda; Chromadorea; Rhabditida; Aphelenchoididae. The record is from RNAcentral.